RNAcentral lists this ribosomal RNA (253 nucleotides) under uncultured bacterium. RNAcentral describes it as "partial 16S ribosomal RNA". It matches the Rfam family "Bacterial small subunit ribosomal RNA", at positions 524 to 776 of the family's 1533-position model. The record is from RNAcentral.
UACGAAGGGGGCAAGCGUUGUUCGGAAUUACUGGGCGUAAAGGGUUCGUAGGUGGCCAACUAAGUCAGACGUGAAAUCCCUCAGCUUAACUGGGGAACUGCGUCUGAGACUGGAUGGCUUGAGUGCAGGAGAGGAACGCGGAAUUCCAGGUGUAGCGGUGAAAUGCGUAGAUAUCUGGAGGAACACCGGUGGCGAAGGCGGCGUUCUGGACUGCAACUGACACUGAGGAACGAAAGCCAGGGGAGCAAACGGG